GAAGUUUGUUUCACUGGGGUUCACUCUUUAUUACGACAUCCCGUUAUUACGACGACCCUCUAUUACGACAUACCGUUAUUACGACAUGCCUCUAUUUAGACAUG
Molecule: long non-coding RNA, 104 nt
Organism: Alosa sapidissima (American shad)
Lineage: Eukaryota; Metazoa; Chordata; Actinopteri; Clupeiformes; Clupeidae
Exons: 3
Source: RefSeq, a predicted model, not a curated record